RNAcentral lists this ribosomal RNA (232 nucleotides) under uncultured bacterium. RNAcentral's name for it is "partial 16S ribosomal RNA". It matches the Rfam family "Bacterial small subunit ribosomal RNA", at positions 100 to 334 of the family's 1533-position model. The record is from RNAcentral.
CGGGACGGGUGAGUAAUGUCUGGGAAACUGCCUGAUGGAGGGGGAUAACUACUGGAAACGGUAGCUAAUACCGCAUAACGUCGCAAGACCAAAGAGGGGGACCUUAGGGCCUCUUGCCAUCGGAUGUGCCCAGAUGGGAUUAGCUAGUAGGUGGGGUAACGGCUCACCUAGGCGACGAUCCCUAGCUGGUCUGAGAGGAUGACCAGCCACACUGGAACUGAGACACGGCCAG